GAGGCGCUGGCUUAGUUGGUUAAAGCGCCUGUCUAGUAAACAGGAGAUCCUGGGUUCAAAUCCCAGCAGUGCCUCU
This is a non-coding RNA of Scomber japonicus (chub mackerel), 76 nucleotides long. The record is from the annotation of a RefSeq genome assembly. Lineage: Eukaryota; Metazoa; Chordata; Actinopteri; Scombriformes; Scombridae.